GUUGGUCGAAGCGCCUGGUGGUCCCGACCCGGAAGCGCGGCGACGAGAAAAGAAGUCGGGACUGAGCGUGGAGAACCUCGACGUACGGUCGCUUCGGACGGGGGUUCGACUCCCCCCGCCUCCACCA
Molecule: transfer-messenger RNA, 127 nt
Filed under: Thermoanaerobaculia bacterium
Lineage: Bacteria; Pseudomonadati; Acidobacteriota; Thermoanaerobaculia
Description: partial transfer-messenger RNA
Rfam family: transfer-messenger RNA
About the family: Bacterial tmRNA, also known as 10Sa RNA or SsrA, is named for its dual tRNA and mRNA-like properties. Its role is to liberate the mRNA from a stalled ribosome.
Source: RNAcentral